GAUGAACGCUGGCGGCGUGCCUAAUACAUGCAAGUCGAACGAAAAGACCAGGAGCUUGCUCCGUUCACGUUAGCGGCGGACGGGUGAGUAACACGUGGAUAACCUACCUAUCAGAGGGGGAUAACCUCGGGAAACGGGAGCUAAUACCGUAUAAUAUCUUGAACCGCAUGGUUCGAUAGUGAAAUACGGCGUUUGUGUCUGUUCUAGCUGGAUCCCCGCCUGAUUAGGUAGUUGGGAAGGUAACGGGCUACCAAGGGGACGAGGCGUAGGCGAGCUGAGAGAGUGAUCGGCCACAUUAGAACUGGAACACGGACAAGACGACUACGAGAGGCAGCAGUAGGGAAUCUUCCGCAGUAGGCGGAAGUCUGACGGAGCGACGCGGAGUGAGUGACGAAGGUCUUCGGAUCGUAAAACUCUGUUUUUAGGGAAGAACAACUGUGUCAGUAGCUGUGGACGUCUUGACGGUACCUAAUCAGAAAGCAACGGCUAACUACGUG
Molecule: ribosomal RNA, 497 nt
Filed under: uncultured bacterium
Lineage: Bacteria
Description: partial 16S ribosomal RNA
Rfam family: Bacterial small subunit ribosomal RNA
Source: RNAcentral